Molecule: long non-coding RNA, 490 nt
Organism: Motacilla alba alba
Lineage: Eukaryota; Metazoa; Chordata; Aves; Passeriformes; Motacillidae
Exons: 2
Source: RefSeq, a predicted model, not a curated record
CGAAGAGCCAUCGAGGCACAGCCAGUAUCCCACCACCAGGCCGGGGAUGCUGCCGGGAGUACAGAGCCGACAGGGUCGCCUUCCCCCGGCAUCCUCCGCCCCACGGUUUGGCAGGGCCCCCUGAUCCAUGGCAAUGGAUUUUACUGAAUGUAAGAGCACACUUGGUCUUCGGAGUGAAUUACUGCAUCCCUUCCUCUCCCAAUAACAAGAUCACAUCAUGUAUGCAUUAUUAAGCCAUGUAAUUGAAUGGUCCAUAGUUUGCAUAUCAGACUAUUAAAGUAAUGUGUUUUGCUUUUCUUCCAACACGUAAUGUUAAAGCCUUUGCGAAUAUUUGGUGAUUCUGAUAAUUAUCACCAAAUUACUACAAAUGUUCUCUUCAUUAAUGUGAUUUCUCUCAAGCAUUUUUUAAAAAAAUGUCAAUAAUGCAUUAAGUGGUAGCUUAUAAAGUGUUUUUUUUAAUAAAACUUGUCAACUACAAUUCGAAAAUAAG